UCCUGCCAGUAGUCAUAUGCUUGUCUCAAAGAUUAAGCCAUGCAUGUCUAAGUCCAAGCUGUGUUCACACGGCGAGACCGCGGACGGCUCAUUAAAUCAGUCGUGGUCCAAAUGGGCCAGUGCAAAUCCUACUUGGAUAACUGUGGUAAUUCCAGAGCUAAUACAUGCAACUGAUAUCCCGAAGGCGGUGUUGGGGCUUGCUUGCCUUGCGCUGCGCUGCUCUGACGGAUGCUUUUAUUAGACCAAGCCGCUGAGGACUUGAGGGUUCGCGCUCUCUUGUUUGACUCGUGUGAUGGUGACUCUGGAUAACCAAAUUCUGACAAGCGCACGUACUUCUCUUCUGAGCGAGACGGCGCUGCCACUUUCGAGUGUCUGCCUUAUCAGCUAUCAACCGUUCGUUAUGCGCGACCGAUGGCUUUGACGGGUAACGGGGAAUCAGGGUUCGAUUCCGGAGAGGCAGCCUGAGAGACGGCUACCACGUCCAAGGACGGCAGCAGGCACGCAAAUUACCCAAUCCCAGCAAAUGGGGGAGGUAGUGACGAAAUCUAACGAUGCGGGCGCCCUUUCUGGGGCCCCGCAAUCGGAAUGGGCACUUUCUAAACAACCUGUUGAGAACCUACUGAA
Molecule: ribosomal RNA, 624 nt
Filed under: Eulimnogammarus verrucosus
Lineage: Eukaryota; Metazoa; Arthropoda; Malacostraca; Amphipoda; Eulimnogammaridae
Description: SSU rRNA
Rfam family: Eukaryotic small subunit ribosomal RNA
Source: RNAcentral